Molecule: ribosomal RNA, 481 nt
Filed under: uncultured bacterium
Lineage: Bacteria
Description: partial 16S ribosomal RNA
Rfam family: Bacterial small subunit ribosomal RNA
Source: RNAcentral
AUUGAACGCUGGCGGCAUGCCUUACACAUGCUAGUCGAACGGUAACAGGUCUUCGGAUGCUGACGAGUGGCGACCGGGUGUGUAAUACAUCGGAACGUGCCCGAUCGUGGGGGAUAACGAGGCGAAAGCUUUGCUAAUACCGCAUACGAUCUACGGAUGAAAGCGGGGGAUCUUCGGACCUCGCGCGGACGGAGCGGCCGAUGGCAGAUUAGGUAGUUGGUGGGAUAAAAGCUUACCAAGCCGACGAUCUGUAGCUGGUCUGAGAGGAUGAUCAGCCACACUGGGACUGAGACACGGCCCAAACUCCUACGGGAGGCAGCAGUGGGGAAUUUUGGACAAUGGGCGAAAGCCUGAUCCAGCCAUGCCGCGUGCAGGAUGAAGGCCUUCGGGUUGUAAACUGCUUUUGCACGGAACGAAAAGCCUCUUUCUAAUAAAGAGAGGUCAUGACGGUACCGUAAGAAUAAGCACCGGCUAACUACGU